Molecule: ribosomal RNA, 498 nt
Filed under: uncultured bacterium
Lineage: Bacteria
Description: partial 16S ribosomal RNA
Rfam family: Bacterial small subunit ribosomal RNA
Source: RNAcentral
AUUGAACGCUGGCGGCAUGCUUUACACAUGCAAGUCGAACGGUAACAGGCCGCAAGGUGCUGACGAGUGGCGAACGGGUGAGUAAUGCAUCGGAACGUGCCCAGUCGUGGGGGAUAACGCAGCGAAAGCUGCGCUAAUACCGCAUACGAUCUAUGGAUGAAAGCGGGGGACCGUAAGGCCUCGCGCGAUUGGAGCGGCCGAUGUCAGAUUAGGUAGUUGGUGGGGUAAAGGCUCACCAAGCCAACGAUCUGUAGCUGGUCUGAGAGGACGACCAGCCACACUGGGACUGAGACACGGCCCAGACUCCUACGGGAGGCAGCAGUGGGGAAUUUUGGACAAUGGGCGCAAGCCUGAUCCAGCAAUGCCGCGUGCAGGAAGAAGGCCUUCGGGUUGUAAACUGCUUUUGUACGGAACGAAACGGUCCUGGUUAAUACCUGGGGCUAAUGACGGUACCGUAAGAAUAAGCCCCGGCUAACUUCGUGCCAGCCGCCGCCGUAA